This 459-nucleotide ribosomal RNA is filed under the name uncultured bacterium. Its description in RNAcentral is "partial 16S ribosomal RNA". It matches the Rfam family "Bacterial small subunit ribosomal RNA", at positions 338 to 795 of the family's 1533-position model. The record is from RNAcentral.
CCUACGGGCGGCAGCAGUGAGGAAUAUUGGUCAUUGGCCGGAAGGCUGAACCAGCCAAGCCGCGUGAGGGAGGAAGGCGCAGAGCGUCGCAGACCUCUUUUGCCGGGGGACAAAAGGCCGGACGGGUCCGGUUCUGAGGGUACCCGGAGAAAAAGCAUCGGCUAACUCCGUGCCAGCAGCCGCGGUAAUACGGAGGAUGCGAGCGUUAUCCGGAUUCAUUGGGUUUAAAGGGUGCGCGGGCGGGCCUUUAAGCCGGCGGGGAACUCGCGGGGCUCAACCCAGCCGAGCCGUCGGAACUGGGGGCCUUGAGUGCGGCGGAGGCAUGCGGAAUGCGCGGUGUAGCGGUGAAAUGCAUAGAUAUCGCGCAGAACUCCGAUUGCGAAGGCAGCGUACCGGCGCCGGACUGACGCUGAGGCACGAAAGCGUGGGUAUCGAACAGGAUUAGAUACCCGUGUAGUC